UCUCAGAGCUUCAGAUUCAACUAAUUUAUAAUAGCUCCACUUAAUAGAUGUGACUGAUAAUGAAACUAUUGUGCAAUCUUCCAAAUAGGAAGUAUUGAUGACAAUUUGAAAUGUUUCAAUGUUGUAGACCCAUGAUUAAAACUUACUAGAUUUUUUUUUCUAAAGAACCACACAAUCUUUGAGCAAGAAAGAGUAAAGUUCAGCUUCUUGUUUAAAUUUUGCAUUUGGCAAUGAAUGUGCCCUGCACAAAUCAUGCUAAAACCUAUAGAACUAAUUCGAAUCAACGUAGUAUGAAAAUUGAGGACUUAGUGUAGUCUUCAGUGGCAUUCUGUACUGAGUUAUGGUAGUAUAUGCUUUCAACACUUAUCAUGCGUAGCCAAAGUAUUGCAGUUGUUCUUAGUGCAAUUAUACCAUUUUUCUAUUCUGGGAUUUUUUUUAUUUUUUUGAGCUACACACAUUUAAUAAUGGUCUGAAUUGAGGUUCACAAAUUCUUUUGCCAUGGAAAUGUGUGAAGUGCCAAAUCUUUCAGGAUGGAAUUGUGCAGAGGGACAGCUCUAGGUACACAAGCCACGUUGAUCCCUCUCAGCCCUAUUUUCAGGGUUUAAGUGAGAUUUAAGUAGUGCUUUGGCUGAUCCUCUGCAAAAGAGGUUGAUUUCACUCUGAAGGAACAUGCCCUCUAUGCUGUAAUUUGCUUUUGUAUAUUACCUCAGAAUAUUACUGAUCCACUGUAUGUGGAAAAGGAUGUUUUAAGACAUAGGAUUGACUAAUAAUAAAAAUAAAACCAAGUAGUUAGUUAUUAAUGAUCAUUCAUGUUAAAUUGAAAAAAGGAAAUUGGAGUGCCAUUUGAAUUGUAUGUAUUCAUUUGUUAAAAUUUGAAUUAAUAAAACAGGAGCCUCUAGUAGCUGUUUGGAGGUAAGUUUGCAGUUCUGCAUGUAGUGGUGCCUGAUAUGAAACUACUAAUUAUCAACAUUGUCGUUUCUUUCUGCUCCUUACCUUUUUCCUCUAGUGUAAUCCUUUUAUAUGCUUCUUGCAAUAAGAUUAUGACUAAUCUUGUUUAGCUCCUCAUCAAGUCAAAAAAGUACAAACACUUGCAUUAAUGAGGAUGACAUCUACGGUAUCAGUGUCACGUAUCAACAAGUAUCUGUACACACAUUAUCUGUCCUAGAACCACUGUCAUACAUAAUUUGUUCCGAAUACGAGCAUCCUGCACAAUAUUCAAAUAUACAAUUUAUACUAUACUUCUCCAACAUGUACAGGAUGGCUGUAAUUCAGUGGCAUUGGAGUGCCUGUUCCUUCGUAAGAAAUGUAAACAUUUUAAGUUUGUUACCAUAUUGUCAUUAACUAGCAGUAUUUGUUAAAUUAAACUCCCAAAGAAUCCACUGAUGGCUACAACUUUACACUUCUCAAAGUUAUUCACAAUUCCAUGGUCAAAUUCUUGUCAUUGCAUUUUGUUAACUUUUCAGAAUACGUGGAAACAUACUUCCCAGAGAAAACUCAUCUCCCUGCCUUCUCAUCUCCGGAACAUUAUGCUUUGCCAACACUUACUUAUAAUUUUUAGUUUAUUCUUGUGACAUUUAAAAUCUUACUGAUAUACUUUGAGAAUCAAAAAAGGCUUAAAUUGCUAAAUGUAGUCCCCCCCCCCCCAAAAAAAAACAAAAACCAACAAAAAACUCACCUUUCAGUUUGUCCUCUGCUGUUCUCCUUUGGUGUGCAUUCAUUAAUCUGCAAACAGGAUAGUAAAUCAAAAGUCAAAUUUUUAGAGUUCCUCUAUAGAGAGCAUAAGGUGCAGAACAAUAUUCAUACAUAAUUGGGAUAAUGAAAGUGAGAUUGCUGUUACAAACAAACACUGUAGGUAUACGGCAGUGGCCAAUAUUGAGGCGGACUCACUUUAUCAAUCUUUUAUAUUUUUAAUCAGUAUUUUAAUAUAAAUUCAAAAUACUGUUUAUCAGUUUGAAUCAUUAGUAAGAAUAUAUUGUCUAAAUAAACUGCUCAGUCCACCACCUCCUAAACUACUACUGACAUCUUUUUCAAUACAAUUAAACUGACUGUUAUAGGGUAUAAAUGAAAAUUAAGGAAGGAUUAUUCUGGGGGGGGUGUGUGUGUGAAUAUUUUUAUUACACACACACACACACACACACACACACACACACACACACACACACACACACACA
Long non-coding RNA from Dermochelys coriacea (leatherback sea turtle), 2171 nucleotides. RefSeq lists it as uncharacterized. The record is from RefSeq and is a predicted model, not a curated record. The transcript is spliced from 3 exons. NCBI's taxonomy places the organism in Eukaryota, Metazoa, Chordata, Testudines, Dermochelyidae.